Molecule: non-coding RNA, 352 nt
Filed under: Clostridium sp.
Lineage: Bacteria; Bacillati; Bacillota; Clostridia; Eubacteriales; Clostridiaceae
Description: T-box sequence
Rfam family: T-box leader
About the family: Uncharged tRNA acts as the effector for transcription antitermination of genes in the T-box leader family. T-boxes are found upstream of many aminoacyl-tRNA synthetase genes and some amino acid biosynthetic genes usually in Gram-positive bacteria.
Source: RNAcentral
AUAAAGGCUAUGAAGAGAAAAGUAGUUACUAUAGAAGCUUACAGAGAAGUUCCUGACGCUGAGAGGGAAUAGCGGAAAUUUUAACGAAACAAGGCUCGGAGCCGCAUACGGAUCUUAAUUCAUAUAGUAUGUUUGAGUAGACUAUAGUUUUGAAUAAAGUAUUUAUACAUUGUUCAAAAGUAUAUAUAGAACUUUCUUUUUGAGAUUUCCUCAUUCAUAGUUAACUGAAUUAAGUGAUGCUAUGACGUUUGUUCACGUUACAGAACUAGAGUAUAAUUUUGUACUCAAUAAGAUUAGUAUGGUGACAUACUAAUGAAAUAGGGUGGUACCGCGAUAUAAAUUCGCCCCUGCA